This 72-nucleotide transfer RNA is filed under the name Ictidomys tridecemlineatus (thirteen-lined ground squirrel). RNAcentral's name for it is "Spermophilus tridecemlineatus (thirteen-lined ground squirrel) tRNA". It matches the Rfam family "tRNA". Rfam says of the family: Transfer RNA (tRNA) molecules are approximately 80 nucleotides in length. Their secondary structure includes four short double-helical elements and three loops (D, anti-codon, and T loops). Further hydrogen bonds mediate the characteristic L-shaped molecular structure. tRNAs have two regions of fundamental functional importance: the anti-codon, which is responsible for specific mRNA codon recognition, and the 3' end, to which the tRNAs corresponding amino acid is attached (by aminoacyl-tRNA synthetases). tRNAs cope with the degeneracy of the genetic code in two manners: having more than one tRNA (with a specific anti-codon) for a particular amino acid; and 'wobble' base-pairing, i.e. permitting non-standard base-pairing at the 3rd anti-codon position. The record is from Rfam by way of RNAcentral. Lineage: Eukaryota; Metazoa; Chordata; Mammalia; Rodentia; Sciuridae. RNAcentral also lists the same sequence under 1 other name.
GGGGAUGUAGCUCCCAGGUAAAGUACUUGCCUAGGAAGCAUGAAGCUCUGGGUUCAAUCCCUAGUACCAUCA